Molecule: ribosomal RNA, 1016 nt
Filed under: uncultured bacterium
Lineage: Bacteria
Description: bacterial SSU rRNA
Rfam family: Bacterial small subunit ribosomal RNA
Source: RNAcentral
AGGAAUAUUGGUCAAUGGGCGAGAGCCUGAACCAGCCAAGUAGCGUGCAGGAUGACGGCCCUAUGGGUUGUAAACUGCUUUUAUAAGGGAAUAAAGUGAGCCUCGUGAGGCUUUUUGCAUGUACCUUAUGAAUAAGGACCGGCUAACUCCGUGCCAGCAGCCGCGGUAAUACGGAGGAUCCGAGCGUUAUCCGGAUUUAUUGGGUUUAAAGGGAGCGUAGAUGGAUGUUUAAGUCAGUUGUGAAAGUUUGCGGCUCAACCGUAAAAUUGCAGUUGAUACUGGAUAUCUUGAGUGCAGUUGAGGCAGGCGGAAUUCGUGGUGUAGCGGUGAAAUGCUUAGAUAUCACGAAGAACUCCGAUUGCGAAGGCAGCCUGCUAAGCUGCAACUGACAUUGAGGCUCGAAAGUGUGGGUAUCAAACAGGAUUAGAUACCCUGGUAGUCCACACGGUAAACGAUGAAUACUCGCUGUUUGCGAUAUACAGCAAGCGGCCAAGCGAAAGCGUUAAGUAUUCCACCUGGGGAGUACGCCGGCAACGGUGAAACUCAAAGGAAUUGACGGGGGCCCGCACAAGCGGAGGAACAUGUGGUUUAAUUCGAUGAUACGCGAGGAACCUUACCCGGGCUUAAAUUGCAGAUGAAUUACGGUGAAAGCCGUAAGCCGCAAGGCAUCUGUGAAGGUGCUGCAUGGUUGUCGUCAGCUCGUGCCGUGAGGUGUCGGCUUAAGUGCCAUAACGAGCGCAACCCUUGUUGUCAGUUACUAACAGGAUUUGCUGAGGACUCUGACAAGACUGCCAUCGUAAGAUGUGAGGAAGGUGGGGAUGACGUCAAAUCAGCACGGCCCUUACGUCCGGGGCUACACACGUGUUACAAUGGGGGGUACAGAGGGCCGCUACCACGCGAGUGGAUGCCAAUCCCCAAAACCUCUCUCAGUUCGGACUGGAGUCUGCAACCCGACUCCACGAAGCUGGAUUCGCUAGUAAUCGCGCAUCAGCCACGGCGCGGUGAAUACGUUCCCG